UGGGGAAUAUUGGACAAUGGGCGAAAGCCUGAUCCAGCAAUGCCGCGUGAGUGAUGAAGGCCUUAGGGUUGUAAAGCUCUUUUACCCGGGAUGAUAAUGACAGUACCGGGAGAAUAAGCUCCGGCUAACUCCGUGCCAGCAGCCGCGGUAAUACGGAGGGAGCUAGCGUUGUUCGGAAUUACUGGGCGUAAAGCGCGCGUAGGCGGCUUUGUAAGUUAGAGGUGAAAGCCCGGAGCUCAACUCCGGAAUUGCCUUUGAUACUGCAUCGCUUGGAUCCGGGAGAGGUGAGUGGAAUUCCGAGUGUAGAGGUGAAAUUCGUAGAUAUUCGGAAGAACACCAGUGGCGAAGGCGGCUCACUGGACCGGCAUUGACGCUGGGGUGCGAAAGCGUGGGGAGCAAACAGG
This 404-nucleotide ribosomal RNA is filed under the name Actinomycetes bacterium. RNAcentral describes it as "Actinobacteria bacterium partial 16S ribosomal RNA". It matches the Rfam family "Bacterial small subunit ribosomal RNA", at positions 355 to 776 of the family's 1533-position model. The record is from RNAcentral. Lineage: Bacteria; Bacillati; Actinomycetota; Actinomycetes.